RNAcentral lists this ribosomal RNA (465 nucleotides) under Vreelandella stevensii. Its description in RNAcentral is "partial 16S ribosomal RNA". It matches the Rfam family "Bacterial small subunit ribosomal RNA", at positions 338 to 795 of the family's 1533-position model. The record is from RNAcentral. Lineage: Bacteria; Pseudomonadati; Pseudomonadota; Gammaproteobacteria; Oceanospirillales; Halomonadaceae.
CCUACGGGGGGCAGCAGUGGGGAAUAUUGGACAAUGGGGGGAACCCUGAUCCAGCCAUGCCGCGUGUGUGAAGAAGGCCCUCGGGUUGUAAAGCACUUUCAGUGAGGAAGAACGCCUGGUGGUUAAUACCCAUCAGGAAAGACAUCACUCACAGAAGAAGCACCGGCUAACUCCGUGCCAGCAGCCGCGGUAAUACGGAGGGUGCGAGCGUUAAUCGGAAUUACUGGGCGUAAAGCGCGCGUAGGUGGCUUGAUAAGCCGGUUGUGAAAGCCCCGGGCUCAACCUGGGAACGGCAUCCGGAACUGUCAAGCUAGAGUGCAGGAGAGGAAGGUAGAAUUCCCGGUGUAGCGGUGAAAUGCGUAGGGAUCGGGAGGAAUACCAGUGGCGAAGGCGGCCUUCUGGACUGAAACUGACACUGAGGUGCGAAAGCGUGGGUAGCAAACAGGAUUAGAUACCCGUGUAGUC